This 222-nucleotide unclassified non-coding RNA is filed under the name Hevea brasiliensis (rubber tree). Lineage: Eukaryota; Viridiplantae; Streptophyta; Magnoliopsida; Malpighiales; Euphorbiaceae. The record is from RNAcentral.
AAAACAACCUAAAGUCAUUGAUUCAGAUGGCAUUUGAGCGUAAGGAACUGAAGUGGAAUGGGAAUUUUCAGUUUCUUGACUGGUUCUUAAUGAAGGAAAUAGCUAAUAAUCCGUGGAUUUUAAUAAAAGGUGUCAGACACUAGAAAACAUGCUUUUUCAAGUGCGUUUUGGAUUUUCUCUUUUUAUCUAAUGAAUUUUAAUGAGAAAUGGCGUUUGUUCUCG